This 327-nucleotide ribosomal RNA is filed under the name uncultured eukaryote. RNAcentral describes it as "partial 18S ribosomal RNA". It matches the Rfam family "Eukaryotic small subunit ribosomal RNA", at positions 1470 to 1796 of the family's 1831-position model. The record is from RNAcentral.
CCCUUAGAUGUUCUGGGCCGCACACGCGCUACACUGAAGGAGGCAGCGUGUACUCCUGGAUCGAAAGAUUUGGGUAACCCGCGAAUCUCCUUCGUGCUAGGGAUUGAGGUUUGCAAUUAUCCUUCAUGAACGAGGAAUUCCCAGUAAGUGCAAGUCAUAAGCUUGCGCUGACUACGUCCCUGCCCUUUGUACACACCGCCCGUCGCUACUACCGAUUGAAUGAUUUAGUGGGGACUUCGGACUGGGACCGAUGCGGCUUUCGGGCUGCGUCGGUAUUCUGGAAAGAUGUCCAAACUGUAUCAUUUAGAGGAAGUAAAAGUCGUANCA